AUUGAACGCUGGCGGCAGGCCUAACACAUGCAAGUCGAACGAGUGGCGGACGGGUGAGUAAUGUCUGGGAAACUGCCUGAUGGAGGGGGAUCAACACUGGAAACGGUAGAUAAUACCGCAUACCAUCGGAUGUGCCCAGAUGGGAUUGGCUAGUAGGUGGGGUAAAGGCUCACCUAGGCGACGAUCCCUAGCUGGUCUGAGAGGAUGACCAGCCACACUGGAACUGAUACACGGUCCAGACUCCUACGGGAUGCAGCAGUGGGGAAUAUUGCACAAUGGGCGCAAGCCUGAUGCAGCCAUGCCGCGUGUAUGAAGAAGGCCUUCGGGUUGUAAAGUACUUUCAGCGGGGAGGCGUUACCCGCAGAAGAAGCACCGGCUAACUCCGUGCCAGCAGCCGCGGUAAUUC
RNAcentral lists this ribosomal RNA (406 nucleotides) under uncultured bacterium. Its description in RNAcentral is "partial 16S ribosomal RNA". It matches the Rfam family "Bacterial small subunit ribosomal RNA", at positions 30 to 526 of the family's 1533-position model. The record is from RNAcentral.